GACGAACCGUGCGAACGUUGUUCGGAAUCACUGGGCGUAAAGAGCGUGUAGGCGGCCAACUAAGUCCUGCGUGAAAUCUCGGGGCUCAACCCCGAGCGGUCGUGGGAAACUGGUUGGCUAGAGUGCGGGAGAGGAGAGUGGAAUUCCUGGUGUAGCGGUGAAAUGCGCAGAUAUCAGGAAGAACACCCGUGGCGAAGGCGGCUCUCUGGAACGCAACUGACGCUGAGACGCGAAAGCGUGGGGAGCAAACAGG
RNAcentral lists this ribosomal RNA (253 nucleotides) under uncultured bacterium. Its description in RNAcentral is "partial 16S ribosomal RNA". It matches the Rfam family "Bacterial small subunit ribosomal RNA", at positions 524 to 776 of the family's 1533-position model. The record is from RNAcentral.